Molecule: long non-coding RNA, 7190 nt
Organism: Athalia rosae (coleseed sawfly)
Lineage: Eukaryota; Metazoa; Arthropoda; Insecta; Hymenoptera; Athaliidae
Exons: 3
Source: RefSeq, a predicted model, not a curated record
UUAAUUCGGAUAUACUGUACGGCGUACGUACGAGAGAUACACGCACGUACGCAAUGCAGGGAGAGCUGGCGAGAGGCAGGAGGCGCAAGAGUGCGAGAGCUUUGUCCACCUGUCCCCCGCUCAGCACCUGUAUGACGUCACUGCAGGAAACAGCUGGUUCCUUUCUUAUGCCCUCGUUGCAGACUACGCUUAUGAUAUAGUUGUGUACGCAUAGGUGUGCGUAUAAUAUAUCGUACACUGCGGCAUAUAUAUACCUAUGCGCGCAAACGCGCUUGUGUGUUACACGAUCCUGAUGCGUUUUUCCCUUUUCCUCUCCCUGCGCUAUUACUUUAUACCAUAUAGUAUACGUGUACCUGAGAACGCGCAGGGAUACCUAUGGGCGCAGGCUGGCGGUGGUUAUGUUCGGUUUCUACGCGGAGUGGCUUCGAUUUGAAAAUUAUCAAUUCAUACAUUACAAUGAUGAUCGUUCAAUUGCUUUGCGCUCUGCACUUUAUUGUAACGCUGGAAUCGAUCGAUAUAUAUAUAUUCUGCUUUGGUUCAGAUGUGGAUGUACCUCAAUCGCGAUUCGCGACGUCAAAAAAAAAAACAAAAAAAAAAAAAACAAAAAGUAUCGAUCGGGGACGGUGUAUCGUGAGAAUAUUAACGGGUGACCAUUUUCGAGUUUGGAUUCUUUUUUCCUGGCAUACCUAAAUUUCACUCGGCAGGUAAUUUUAGUAUUCCAAUUGUCGUGCGAUUGCACAUAGUCUUAUCGUAGGGGGUGUUUAGCACGUGGAGGCAGAUAAGUGUACACACGGAUGUAAAAAGGUAUGCGAAUCGGUGUAGGUGCACGUAUGCGUGAGUAUAACGCACACACGGAGAACGGUGGUUCUCGUGUAGCUUUAGCGCGAUCGUUGUCCCUCCGCGGCAAGGAACUCUCUGCACCGGCAGCAUUAUUAUACCGUAGAGUGUAGUCUGCAUGGUUACGGAGAAUUCCCGUUACUCCAAAGAAAAUAUCAUGAAAACCGUACAGAAUUGAUGCCACACUAAAUACGUGUACUGUACACAUUACAAUUCAUAAUAACGAAAGAAACUCAAGUAAUCAUCCGCAUAUAUCGAUGUAUACGAUAUAAUAUUGAAUCUGUACGAAUGUGUUCCAUCAAGUGAUGCUCGAUUAUGGUUCCACGAGACGAAAUAAUUCGAAUCGUCCGCAAAGGAAUUGCGAAGCGAUUCGAAAAUACGGGAAUAGAAAACGCAAUGAAUUUUUUAGAAUCAAACGUCACCGCGAUUCUCAUCAAUCUCAUUGCAGAUUGCGCGCUUGUAGGGUUAGGUAUAAUGAAAUUUCUCUCAUUUCUAAUGAGAAAAGAACCAAAAAAAAAAAAAGGAAUUGAUCACUUCUGAUACAUUAUUGUCCGCGUAGACGUACGGAAAUUUCAACUCCAUAGUUUACACAUUAUAUGUAUUACAAACGACGCUCGCAUGAAGUUCUACUAAACGAAAUUUAAUGACCGCAUCUCUUAUACAAAUUCCAACGAUUUCCCGCAGAGACUGCUUGACCUAUAAAUCGAUUUUUUAUUUCUAAGACCGAUGAAAAUAAUUGGAACGCUGUUUUGUACAUCACGAGUCCAGAAAUGACAUUGGAAAGAACGUAAUCCCGUUGCGCGGAUAGAGCAAAAGUCACCAGAUUCUAUACCUAAACUAGAUUUCGGAACAAAUUAAUUAGCCCGAGUUGCGAAAUCGAAUUUAGAACAUUUUUCGGUUAAACCUGCGAAUAUCCGAUUCGGAAAGUUUCCCUGGGAAAACGUGGGAAUUCCGUAUUUCCGACGACUUUUGUCGAGUGCUUUGAAAUUUUCUAGCGGUAGGUGAAAAUUGAGAAAUUCAAAACUGUUUUUCACCUCGAAUUCGAAGUCGAUUGGUCAAAACGUCUGAAAAUGGACGGACGAGUUCGCCAUGAGAUGACCCUGUAAUUUUACUGAAACUUCCAAAUUUCCAAAUAACAUUGAUCGUAGGCGAUUCCAAUAUUUCCCUGCAAAAUAUAAAUAAAAAAAAAAAUUAAAACCCUCGCAGGUGUGUACGAAAAUCGCUAGGUCUUCGCCGCAUCUAGACGAACGUAACAACGUGUCCUUCCUUCCACGCAGUAUACACCGCAACAGCUACGGUUGAACCGAAGAAAGAGCAAGAGACUGAGAAACUAACGGACAACAACUCGACCUCGUCGAGUAAAUCAUACGUGAGUACGGCGACGGGGACGUCAGGGACGACGAGUGCCAGGGGCAUAAAUGCGCGUAGUGUGACAUACACGAGGCAUCGCGGAGUGACGCGGGAGUCUCCGAUAUUUCAACGUGCUAGCCGAAUCGAUGAAAUUUGGAUAAAUUUUUUCCUCCUCUUUUUUUUCCCCUCUUUUCAAAACGAACCGCAGAGUAGAGAAAAACAAUAGAUAUAUACCGGGAGCGGCAUGAGGCGCGGUGUGAUUCGAUGAGAAGAAUAGGCUGACAAUGAGCGUCGUCAAAUAAUUUUCCGACGAUUAGAAUGUCGUUCGAUUACGCAAGAUGAAUAAACUCGCGCCAGGUCGAGUCGAUCACUCGUAAUCGUGUCUCUACGUAUAAUCCGAUCGGUGAAGAGAUAAAAUAAAAUGAAGCAAACGCGGUAAAACGUCAUAGAGGUCGUAAAUAUAAUUUUCAAUCACGCGGUAGGGUAUAUAAUGUGAUAAAUACGAACGAGUGUCCGAUUCUUUGAUUUUUCUUAAAUCGUUUUUGAGAUAAAAAUCUAUCGAUUCAACGACGCCGCGAUAAAGAAUCAGAUACGCGCUAGGGUGAUAUAUAUACUUGUGAUUUUAACCACUGCAUUUUCUCUCUCAUAUACUACAUAUACGAGAACAUUCUCUACGACGACGGUUGAAAAGAAAUUUUUUUUUCUAAAUCUACGGAGGAACUAAAAGCCCUUCAGAAAGGUGUUCGAAGCUGUAUAAUAUCUGUGAUAAGACUUACGCGUACAUGUAUACAUGUAUAGCUGUUAUAAUGACGCCUACAACAGAUCCCGGUAUCGCGUGAAACCUAGCGUCGCGACGACGACGACGCCGUGCGUUUCCUAUACCUACGUACGUAUCUGCAUACGUGUUCACAUCACAAACCCACCGUAAAGUGUGCCUCCUCACUUACCACCGAUACACGCGCGCGCGCACGCACGUUAGGUAAGAUACGCGUGUGUACAUCGUCCUCCAUAUUAUAAACAUAUGCGCGCAUACAUAACAUAUAUCCAUAUACGUACAUCGACUACAUAUACAUAUAUAUAAUAUACACGCAUAAUCGGAGGCGGUUAAGUUCAGUUUCGGCUAAGCUACACGUGUGAGCUCUAUAAUACUCAUGGUCUGGUGUAUAUGGGGCAUUCCACCGUGAACUUAAGAAAAUUCUGCCACUCGCCAAUGACGCGAUUCUCCCUCUUCAUUUUCUAUUCUCAAUAGUUUUCAGGUACGACGAAAAAAAAGAGUCCGGAAAAUGCUAUUGAUCAUUUUUGUCGCGUACGCAUCCAAAUCGAAAAGAAAUACGCAACGUUUGAAUAUUUAACGGCGAAUCAUAGCGAAGGGGUAAUUGAUUUUUUUUAAUAAUGGUAAAAAAGGUGACGCUCCCAAUGCGAUCUCGCAUUGCCGCGGAAUGGCCCGUAUAUGUAUACGUCGUAGUCCGGGAUAGACGCUUACGAUGGUAUAGCAUCGGAGCACAGCAUUCGUGUGUAUGGGCAUAACAGGCAUAAGCAAUCUACGAUGGUCGUCGUCGUCGUCGUCGUCGUCGUCGUCGUCGUCGGGAGUUGAAAAGGUGGAGGGGAGGUGGAGCGGGCGGGCAUCAGGCGAUGGGCAUGGCGUACGUCGGCGCGCGGCUAGACGCAGCGAAACGGCGUAAAGUGAACUGCAGGGUAUUGCGGAGCUUACGGUAUAGACGAAAAUCAGAUGGCUGUGCGUCAUGCGCACCUUGGUCCACACCGGAACGUCGCACGGAUACACGCGCGCACACACACACACGCACACACACAAGGGCGGACAAAAGUUGCACACAGAAUCUAGGCGACGCUGACACCGCGACGACACGCACACACGCGAGUACUUAGAUUACAGGUAUAUAUGUAUACCUGUUACGGUAAUAACGACGAAAUUCAUGUACAUAUAUCGGAACGAAUUAGCGAGUUAUUUCGAUCCGCGAUUGAUGACUCGGAUAAAGCGCUUUUUCUACGAUAAAUCGAAGCCCGCAGGAUCGUUCGAAACUUAUUUUUUUUUCCCUCAAUCUUCGUCUCCGGACUCCCACUAAGAUGCGUUUUGUGCACACAUGCUUAAUACAUAUAACCGUACGUUUUACCUACGUACAUACGUCACACAUAGACAUAGAUGUAUUUUGUGGCGCGAGCGUGAACGCGCGGGGGUAAACGGUUGAAGCUUUUAGUUUUUUUUGUCCGUCCGUUCGUCCGGCGCCAACCGGUAGGUAUCUCAUAUAUGCCUAUAUAUAUGUUAUAAAUAUGUACGUGCGAUACAUAGCAUGUAUUCGUAUGUAGGUAUAGGAGAAUAUAAUACGUGUGUGCGUGUGUGUGUUUUAUCCUCCGCUUGUAUGUGAUAUCUUGCGGUGGAUCGUUGAAAUAAUUUUAAAAAUUCAGGUUGCCCUGAGUAGGUGGCAUGCGGCACCCGCAGCACACCACCGCUACAUCAAGCGGCGCAACUAUAAAGUGCAGUUAGCGUAUUGUAAUGUACAAGGGGUAGUUCCAGGUAUUAAAGGAGUCUUCUUUUUACUGGAUUUGAAGAUCAUCGGGUAUUAUAGAGUAGGUAUAAUCCGUGUAUAUGCGGAUUGAAAACCACGGAACCAUAUGCUUUAUAUGCGUCCCACAGUGGCGGUAAUAAUAAUUACACACGCUCAGUUUGUUUAUGCGAUGUUAAAUGUGAUACCGUGAUAUAAUAUAGCCUCUCAUAAAGCGUUAUAUUCUCUCUUAUUCCCGCUAUACUCUCGCUCGUCGUUUGGUAUAUACUCAGGAUUAUAGCGUAAAUCCGGGUGACGGCGAACACGUAUCCAUACCCAUGUAUACAUAUAUGUACUUAUCGCGCUGGAAUGUUCUUUCUCUGAUCAUCCAAUUUUUCGAAUUUCUAUUCAGUUGUAUAAUAUACCGCCAUCGGUUUCAAAAAGUGAAUAUUUUUUUCUAUCAACUCCGUUACAGAGAUCACACGCUCUUACGAUUAAUCGAUACUAGGGUAACGAUAUUAUUGCCCCGAGUUUCGAAAAACGAAUACGAAAGUUGAGAAAAAAAAAGGACCCCGGAGAAAAUGACUGCGGGCUAACCGCUCGCGGUCGGUGUCCAAAACGUCGUGCACGCGUCGUAGUUAACAGUCGUAGCGAUAGUCGUAGUGUCGUAGUCGUAGUCGUAGUCGUAUAAGUCGUAGGACGGCAGUCAUUUUCGUCACGGAAAGUCAGCGUGGCAGACCCAGCGACAGGCGCAAGAGAACACAAAGAGGCACACGCACGUAGGUCGAGCAGCGAACACGGCAAUGGCAACGAAGCGACACACAACAUAAAAGUAGAUUAUAUACCUGCUGCCGCUGCCGCUGUCGCUGCCGCUGCUGCCGCUGCUGCACCGUGCGCCUGGAGAAAUCUUAACUUUUCGACGACGACGACGACGACGACGACGAUAUGUACGCGUGUGCCGACGACCGCGCGGCGCUUACCACCAACGUAUACACAUACCGUACGCACGUGUGCACGUACUUCAUCUAUAGGCAAGCAAACCGCGCGCGCUCCCUCUCUCUACCAUCACAUUUUAGCGACGACCGACCGGCCCAUAUACCAACAUGACUGAGUAUAGUUAUCAGUGAACGUCGUCGUAUAACCAGAAAUCAAUAUUUAUACCCACGAAGCACCUUAAGCUAUUCGACUACAACUCCACGUACACUCGGAGGAAAUAUUUUGUUCAAAUAUACGUAUAUAUAAAAGCAAAAAAACAACAAAAAUCUUAUUACCGAUGUCGUUUGUAAAAAAUUAUUAUCUCACGAUUACGAUUAACGGGUACGUCGGACGCAUAUAAAAAAAAUAAAAGUUGUAUCUCGAGGAGAAUUUCCUUGGUUUUUCGUUCCUCAAAAAUCGAACAAUUCUUUUUUUUUAUGUGUGGAAUUUUCCCUGGUUUCACGAGCGUACUUGCAUUCCAUUCGGGAUGGCGGCAGGGGGCGAAGGAGAGAAUAAAUUUAACGAUUCAAUUCCACAUAUUGUCCGGAUAAUAAGGAAAGACGUAACGUCAUAGCGACUGAUAUAUGUAUACAUAUCGCGGGAUCGCAGUCAAUCGACGAUCGAUAACGCAGAUGAUGAUCCGUUAAAUGAACAUCGACGCGUCUAUAAUAAUCCGGGCGGUACAGAGAUCUAGUUUAAAAAUCUGUUAAAAACCAUUCCUUCGCUACCGCUCGGGUGCAGCGUUAAUUGUAUAAAGGGAAAGUAGCUUUGCUCAGACGAGGAACGAACGAGAACUACGCGUCGCGUUAUUACAGUUAGAACGGCUGUUUCCCAGGUACAAAACCUGCUCCCAUCGUGUCGACUAUAGUAUACACAUACCUUCAACUGUAUCCAUAGGUAUACACAAUACCAUAAAAUAAUGCUCGUUCAUCGUCGCGAAUCUACACAACCGAAGUCUAUACAGCAGGUAGGAUAACGACUACUCGGUGCAAUGCAAAAAAAAAAAAAAAACACCCCGCAAGUGUUUUUGUUGAUAAGACACCGAGCUGUUGUACAAAAAUUUUCAAUCCAAGGGCCAAAAAUGUCGAAGGGUUAAACGUUAUAACAUACACAGUGGAACGGUAUAGCGGGGUGAAUAAAACUUGCGAAAGUAUACGAACUGAAGAGAUGGUUCCCGGACUAAAUAGAGGGAUAACAAAACAGGGGUGUAAAUUUUUCCACUUUCUUCAUCUUUUUUUCUCUGCUCAAGAGGGCGGAAACUUCACCUGAUAUUAAUCUUUGGCAUCCUUGAAUAUUUCUUUUCUUCCUUUUCUCUCUCUCGCUGCAGCGUAUUAAAAAGUUGCGAAAAAAAUGUUCACCUCGCGAUAAACCGCAUAGUGGCGAGGUUUCGGGUUAACUCUACUUUCUCAUACACGUUGUAUUAUCAAUCGUAUAUGAAAAUCACGUGUGUAAGAAUCGUCGCGGAGGCAAUUACGCACUAAUCGAUAAUCUCUCGCACCUGCAAACGGUUACACUGUAUAGUCUACG